This is a long non-coding RNA of Gadus morhua (Atlantic cod), 1146 nucleotides long. RefSeq lists it as uncharacterized. The transcript is spliced from 2 exons. NCBI's taxonomy places the organism in Eukaryota, Metazoa, Chordata, Actinopteri, Gadiformes, Gadidae. The record is from RefSeq and is a predicted model, not a curated record.
UUCUCACAGGCUCUGUCCAGGUUUCACUCACCCCACCCCGGGGUGGCUGUCGUCAUUGCGAACAUUUCCGGUUUAACUGUGGUUGUUUUUGGCUUCGGCGCGGCCCUUCUGAGGCCCAGAGAUGACGGCUAAUAGGGAUAACUUACGCAGUCCAUGAUGCCCACAACCAUGGACACGCUGCCACACCGCAUCGUCGUUUAUCAGCCAUCUGACCCAAUAGCACCAAUGUCUUAUUUUAGCACAACAUCGCCUCAGUUCCUCAAUAUCUGUCUGCAAGUCGCAUGCAGCGGUUUAGAAUUCUUUUGGGCACUCCUGUGCAGUCUUCGCCCUCAGUGAUCACCAAGAGUAGUCUGAUCUACGAUGAUCUUUUGUCUAACAUACACAGCAUCUGCCUGCGAAUAAGAGACUUACAAACAUCUGUCCUCUGAUGUUUACAUAAGAGUCUGAGUGGGUGACGUAGCGGACCCAGCGCUGGGACGAGCCGGCUUGGACGGGGGUCAGGCGGAGGAAGCGGAUCUGCAGUCCGGUGCAGGUGUACUUGGGCAGCUCGAAGCUCAGACCCACCGGUCCCACCUCCAUCAUGGAGGCUGAGCUCAGACCUGGAACCUCCAACUGGGAAAGAGAACGAACGGAAAGAAGGAUCACAGGCGUUGGACAGACGCACAGACCGCAUACAUGCAAACUCAAACCCACAUGUAAUAAAAGGCUAAAUACUUUGUUCAUGUAAAUCCUUUUCACUGAUUACAUCCAACAUCAACAAGAGUUGAAGUACAUUAGAAACACAUUUUAAAUGGCUCCAAUGACAUAAUACUUCCAUGUCUUCCUCUACAAGAUGCCUGGUUCUUAAUUUUAUUUAAAGUUACAAAAGGAUCUAAAAACGUCAAAUGACAAUGGCACAUCACAGAGGGAUGUAUCCACUACACUCCUACCGUAUACCCCGGGAGAUGUGAAGAGAAAACAAAAGUAUAUGAAAAAUAAUAUUUUAAUAUACAUCACAGUCAGUUAAUAAACUCAGACUUGGAAACAGUCAAGAGCUUUCACGUUGUAUAGUUUGUACUUCCUCAAAGUCCGAAAGGCCGUAGCGUCAUCCAGCUCCACAGGCAAGAGAUAGACUGAAAGGACGUGACAUUAAAAUGGAUUUGGUGA